GAACAGCCCCAGGGGAAAUUCAGUUUUCUCGAGUGCAGAAUAUAUUAGUUCAAGUAUAUGUAUAAUAGCAUCAUUAGUACUUUUUUUCGGUCUGAACCCAAACUGACAAGGGUUGAGUAUGUUGUGGGAUACGAAGUAGAAGUAGACUUGUUUGUGUAUUAAUUUUUCGAAGAUUUUAGAUAGUAAGGGGAGGUUUGAUACAGGCCUAUAAUUGUUUAAUUCAGUUGGAUCACCUCCUUUGAGGAUCGGGGUGACUCUUGCUGUCUUGAGUAUGGAUGGGAAGGUGGAAGAUUUAGUGGAUAUCUUAGAGUUGCAAUAAUUGGUGACACAUGAAGUUUUUUUUAUACGAGUUGUGACACAAUUAAACAAAAUAAAGGUAGCUUUGCCAUUUCUGAGGUACGUAUUAGAAAGAAUUCUACUCAAGACAAUCGACCCUGUCAUCACAUAGCACCAAGAGCUACUUCACUACUACUACCACUGUUGCUACUACACUACUACUACUGCUGCUACUACUACACUACUACUGCUGCUGCUGCUACUACAUGGUGUUGAGUGCAACCGGUCGCCGUUUGAUGUAAUAAAAGCUGUCGCCUGCAAAAAGAAUUGGUUUAAGUCUCUGUGAAGCAUUAGGAAGGUCAGUGAUGAACAGUAGACAAGGAGGAGCAGAGGGUCUAGGAACCACUUUGAUUGAUCAGGUUGCUGAACAACAGUCAUUAAUGGUCACAUGUCGAUGUCUGUCACUCAGGCCACCGUACCUUGGUGGGGAACAGCCAAUAUGUUAAUAAAAAAGAAUAUUGAGGAUAUGAAGCAAAUCAGACGAGGUAUUCACAGGUGAUCACAUAGAAACCCAAUAUGCCAGUUUCUUCAAUAAAAUGGCAAAUUAGGACAUGCACAGCCCAAAGCUAAUUCAAGCCAUCCACUAAGAAAC
Molecule: long non-coding RNA, 928 nt
Organism: Cherax quadricarinatus
Lineage: Eukaryota; Metazoa; Arthropoda; Malacostraca; Decapoda; Parastacidae
Source: RefSeq, a predicted model, not a curated record